AGAGUUUGAUCAUGGCUCAGAAUCAACGCUGGCGGCGUGCCUAACACAUGCAAGUCGAACGCGAAAGUCCCGCAAGGGAUGAGUAGAGUGGCAAACGGGUGAGUAACACGUGGGUGACCUGCCUUCGAGCGGGGGAUAACGUCCCGAAAGGGACGCUAAUACCGCAUAACAUCCUGCCUUUGAAGAGGCGGUGAUCAAAGCUGGGGAUCGCAAGACCUAGCACUCGAAGAGGGGCCCGCGUCCGAUUAGCUAGUUGGUGAGGUAAUGGCUCACCAAGGCAACGAUCGGUAGCCGGCCUGAGAGGGCGGACGGCCACACUGGGACUGAGACACGGCCCAGACUCCUACGGGAGGCAGCAGUGGGGAAUUGUUCGCAAUGGGCGCAAGCCUGACGACGCAACGCCGCGUGGAGGAUGAAGAUCUUCGGGUCGUAAACUCCUUUCGAUCGAGACGAUUCCUCCGGGGUGAACAAUCCCGGAGGUUGACGGUAC
Molecule: ribosomal RNA, 490 nt
Filed under: uncultured bacterium Riz1077
Lineage: Bacteria
Description: bacterial SSU rRNA
Rfam family: Bacterial small subunit ribosomal RNA
Source: RNAcentral